RNAcentral lists this ribosomal RNA (102 nucleotides) under uncultured bacterium. RNAcentral's name for it is "partial 16S ribosomal RNA". It matches the Rfam family "Bacterial small subunit ribosomal RNA", at positions 1379 to 1482 of the family's 1533-position model. The record is from RNAcentral.
CCUUGUACACACCGCCCGUCACGCCAUGGAAGUUCGGAGCGCCCGAAGUCGGUGUCGCAACCGUAAGGGCAAGCCGCCGAAGGCGAGCGAAUGACUGGGGCG